GACGAACGCUGGCGGCGUGCUUAACACAUGCAAGUCGAACGGAAAGGCCCUGCUUUUGUUGGGUGCUCGAGUGGCGAACGGGUGAGUAACACGUGAGUAACCUGCCCUUGACUUUGGGAUAACUUCAGGAAACUGGGGCUAAUACCGGAUAGGAGCUCCUGCUGCAUGGUGGGGUUUGGAAAGUUUCGGCGGUUGGGGAUGGACUCGCGGCUUAUCAGCUUGUUGGUGGGGUAGUGGCUUACCAAGGCUUUGACGGGUAGCCGGCCUGAGAGGGUGACCGGCCACAUUGGGACUGAGAUACGGACCAGACUCCUACGGGAGGCAGCAGUGGGGAAUAUUGCACAAUGGGCGGAAGCCUGAUGCAGAAACGCCGCGUGCGGGAUGAAGGCCUUCGGGUUGUAAACCGCUUUCGCCUGUGACGAAGCGUGAGUGACGGUAAUGGGUAAAGAAGCACCGGCUAACUACGUG
Molecule: ribosomal RNA, 468 nt
Filed under: uncultured bacterium
Lineage: Bacteria
Description: partial 16S ribosomal RNA
Rfam family: Bacterial small subunit ribosomal RNA
Source: RNAcentral